CGCAGCAGAGGCCUCUGAAGUCUUUGGAGCGACCUCGUAGAGCAAAACCUAAUGUUUUGCACGUUGGCGACGGUGAACGCAGGUUCCCCAAACCAAGCAUCAGUAAGGCACCAGCGUAAGGGUGGCUAGGUGAAGGCGCGACGAAGGGUGAGGGUAGCGAGAGCUGCAAUCGAUGACGAAGGCGUGGUUGAUCACAGUGGUGGAUCUGUUCGGAGUCGUCUAGGUGCCAAACCUUGAUCUCGCAAUUCGGCGGCGGCUUCAUAAGACUCUGACGAGGUUUGCAGAGGGGGCUAUGUUCCUCUAAGUCGGUCGGCGACAACCACGGUCUUUAAGAGCAUGUGAGGUUUUCUCAGUCAGCGGCGGAGGUAUCUCGAGCCUCCUUCGAUCGUUUGUUUGAAGUAGGCUUCCAUGUCGGACUCUAGGACCCAGCGAUGGAGGCCACCG
This 444-nucleotide long non-coding RNA is filed under the name Rosa chinensis. RNAcentral's name for it is "sRNA RchiOBHm_Chr7g0189761". Lineage: Eukaryota; Viridiplantae; Streptophyta; Magnoliopsida; Rosales; Rosaceae. The record is from RNAcentral.